This 505-nucleotide ribosomal RNA is filed under the name uncultured bacterium. Its description in RNAcentral is "partial 16S ribosomal RNA". It matches the Rfam family "Bacterial small subunit ribosomal RNA", at positions 28 to 507 of the family's 1533-position model. The record is from RNAcentral.
GACGAACGCUGGCGGCGUGCCUAAUACAUGCAAGUCGAACGCACAGUUUAUACCGUAGCUUGCUACACCAUAGACUGUGAGUUGCGAACGGGUGAGUAACGCGUAGGUAACCUGCCUGGUAGCGGGGGAUAACUAUUGGAAACGAUAGCUAAUACCGCAUAAUAUUAAUUAUUGCAUGAUAAUUAAUUGAAAGGUGCAAUUGCACCACUACCAGAUGGACCUGCGUUGUAUUAGCUAGUAGGUGAGGUAACGGCUCACCUAGGCGACGAUACAUAGCCGACCUGAGAGGGUGAUCGGCCACACUGGGACUGAGACACGGCCCAGACUCCUACGGGAGGCAGCAGUAGGGAAUCUUCGGCAAUGGACGAAAGUCUGACCGAGCAACGCCGCGUGAGUGAAGAAGGGUUUCGGAUCGUAAAGCUCUGUUGUAAGAGAAGAACGGGUGUGAGAGUGGAAAGUUCACACUGUGACGGUAGCUUACCAGAAAGGGACGGCUAACUACGUG